UACGUAGGGGGCAAGCGUUGUCCGGAUUUAUUGGGCGUAAAGAGCUCGUAGGCGGUUCCGUAAGUCGAGUGUGAAAAAUCUGGGCUCAACCCAGUGGAGCACUCGAUACUGCGGUGACUAGAGUACGGUAGAGGAGUGUGGAAUUCCUGGUGUAGCGGUGAAAUGCGCAGAUAUCAGGAGGAACACCAAUGCGAAGGCAGCUCGCUGACGGUCGACUGACGCUGAGACGACGAAGCGUGGGGAGCAAACAGG
Molecule: ribosomal RNA, 252 nt
Filed under: uncultured bacterium
Lineage: Bacteria
Description: partial 16S ribosomal RNA
Rfam family: Bacterial small subunit ribosomal RNA
Source: RNAcentral